This 2050-nucleotide long non-coding RNA is filed under the name Heterocephalus glaber (naked mole-rat). RNAcentral's name for it is "lncRNA (ENSHGLG00100050857.1)". Lineage: Eukaryota; Metazoa; Chordata; Mammalia; Rodentia; Bathyergidae. The record is from RNAcentral.
UCGGUCCAGUGAAUUCCUUCUCCACCCCUGGGCCCUUCCUUGAUCCUGAGGGAACCCGCUUCCAGCCUGCAGUGUGCCGGGCUGGGUGAGAGUCUGGGAAGCCUGGCAAAACUGUGGCAGCCAGCAGAUUUUCAUCUCUGUGCUGACUGAGCGACGGAGAGGGCCGAAUGUGUAAUUUAUGCUGGGGAGGACUGCUAUGCUCGGUCUCUGCCGUGCGAGGAAGCAGGCUGAGAAGUAUGGAACUUGCCGUGGGCGCAAGUGCAGUCACACCAGGCUGACACCAGUGCUGAGGGGGCCAGGGGUCCAAAGCCUGAGCCACAGCUACCAGGCUCUGUCCCCUCACCACAUGUGAACUAGAGCAGGCGAAGGCAGCCAGCUGGGAGCCACGCACCCUGAUUUUCUUGCAUUCAGCUCGAGGCCCCCACCCCCUUCAGUGCAGCAGUGGCCUGCAGAGCCGGACACGGCGCCCACCCACCGUGUUGAUCUUCCUGGGCAGCGGCACAGGCGUCUCAGGCAGAGUGGGCGUGAGGUCGUUGGAGUCUUCUGACACCUGCUUCUGGAUGGCGUCUCUGGACUGCAUGUUUGGGGACAGAUCCACUGGGUGUGACUUCUGCAUGGCCCUCGGAGGGCUGCAGAGCCUUGGGUGAGAUGUCCGGCAGCCUGGGAUUUUGCCAGCAGGUCUCCCAGCUGCGGUUUGGGGGCAGGUCCUUCAUUUGUGGCUUGGGGGGUAAGUCUGAGAGCUGGGGCUUGGGUGGCAGGUCUCCAGGUGGGGGCUUCUGUGGUAACUCUGUCAGCUGCGAUGAUUUCUGGAAAAUCUCAGAUGGGACGUUGGCUUUGUCUAGGGAGAGAUGAUGGCUUGUUUCUGUUUUCCUUAGUGCCACUGCAGGGACAAUCACAGAGAGGAAGUCACUGGAACAGCGUGUGAGGGGAGGCAGGCUUGCUCCUGUCACAGUCACCUGAGAGCCCCCAACCGCCACCCGGUGCACACUUGGAGCGGCUUCCGCUCAGGGCAGCCCCAGCCUGGGAUGGCCUGUUUCUAACAAGGUCAGAGCUGGAGCCAGGAGGCACCUACACUACUGUUCAUGGCUUUGCGCCUUAGUUAGGUAAGAACACAAUGGCCAUAUCAACCCAGGAUUUUUUUAAAAAGCAAACAUAAUACAGUUUGUGGAAAAUUGGAAGGUACAGUUAAACACUUUUCCAUAAGCCUACCCUCCAUCUAAGUGUAGCCAUUUGUCACGUUGAUAUAUUUCCCCUCUUGACUUUGCCAUGCAAUUUCAAUGCAUCUAACUAUGUGCUACUUUAGCAGAAUACUUGCCAUGUCAUUAAACUUUUUACUAGUACAAAUGUCAUUCUGAAGGGACAUUCUCCUCUAUGGCUGCAUCAUGUUCAAUUCCCUUGAUUCUACAUGACUCAUGCAGGAGGUGGCACAAGAAGCAGGAAGGCCCAUCCUCCCAGGUAAAGCGCUACCUUCUGGUGAUAUGCAUAUGUGGGCUUAUGCAUGUAGCAUCUAAAACAGAAUGUGCAUUAUAACACAUAUGCUGCAGUAACACACACGUCUGAAAAUUUGUUUCCACUUAAUAUGCUCAGGGAGAGUCUCCAAGCUCCUCAUUCUCCUUACCUGCUGCACGCUAUGCUACGCUCAGGCAGGGCCACAAAUUACGGACCCGCCCUGGCUGCUCCUGGCACAGCUCUGUGGAGAACACUCACUGUCAGCAUGUCUCUAACGUGAGCCCAACCAUUCACCAGCCAGUGUGACCCUGGGCAAAGUGUACAAUCUCCCUGUGCCAACUCCACCUCACAGCACAGCCCUGGAGAUUACACGGGUGACGUACGUGAGGAAUUUACUGACAGGAACUGGCAGGCUGUAAGCAUUUCUUUAGAGUAAUGCCAUCCACUCCUGUUAAACAGGGCUCCCGAGGCCAAGAUUCCUCGCUUCCCUAACUCUGGCUCCUGGCACAGGGGCCGAGGCACAGCAAAUGUUCCGCGAGGAAACGGCUGACGAAGGCACACUGUGUGACUCAAACUAAGGAUUUUAUCCUAAAAAUACAAC